Molecule: ribosomal RNA, 1135 nt
Filed under: Limosilactobacillus oris
Lineage: Bacteria; Bacillati; Bacillota; Bacilli; Lactobacillales; Lactobacillaceae
Description: bacterial SSU rRNA
Rfam family: Bacterial small subunit ribosomal RNA
Source: RNAcentral
GCCCCAUAUCUCCUACGGGGAGGCAAGCAGUAGGGAAUUCUUCCACAAUUGGGCGCAAGCCUGGAUGGAGCAACACCCGCGUGAGUGAAGGAAGGGUUUCGGCUCGUAAAAGCUCUGUUGUUAAAGAAGAACACGUAUGAGAUUAACUGUUCAUACGUUGACGGUAUUUAACCAGAAAGUCACGGCUAACUACGUGCCAGCAGCCGCGGUAAUACGUAGGUGGCAAGCGUUAUCCGGAUUUAUUGGGCGUAAAGAGAGUGCAGGCGGUUUUCUAAGUCUGAUGUGAAAGCCUUCGGCUUAACCGGAGAAGUGCAUCGGAAACUGGAUAACUUGAGUGCAGAAGAGGGUAGUGGAACUCCAUGUGUAGCGGUGGAAUGCGUAGAUAUAUGGAAGAACACCAGUGGCGAAGGCGGCUACCUGGUCUGCAACUGACGCUGAGACUCGAAAGCAUGGGUAGCGAACAGGAUUAGAUACCCUGGUAGUCCAUGCCGUAAACGAUGAGUGCUAGGUGUUGGAGGGUUUCCGCCCUUCAGUGCCGGAGCUAACGCAUUAAGCACUCCGCCUGGGGAGUACGACCGCAAGGUUGAAACUCAAAGGAAUUGACGGGGGCCCGCACAAGCGGUGGAGCAUGUGGUUUAAUUCGAAGCUACGCGAAGAACCUUACCAGGUCUUGACAUCUUGCGCCAACCCUAGAGAUAGGGCGUUUCCUUCGGGAACGCAAUGACAGGUGGUGCAUGGUCGUCGUCAGCUCGUGUCGUGAGAUGUUGGGUUAAGUCCCGCAACGAGCGCAACCCUUGUUACUAGUUGCCAGCAUUAAGUUGGGCACUCUAGUGAGACUGCCGGUGACAAACCGGAGGAAGGUGGGGACGACGUCAGAUCAUCAUGCCCCUUAUGACCUGGGCUACACACGUGCUACAAUGGACGGUACAACGAGUCGCGAACUCGCGAGGGCAAGCAAAUCUCUUAAAACCGUUCUCAGUUCGGACUGCAGGCUGCAACUCGCCUGCACGAAGUCGGAAUCGCUAGUAAUCGCGGAUCAGCAUGCCGCGGUGAAUACGUUCCCGGGCCUUGUACACACCGCCCGUCACACCAUGAGAGUUUGUAACACCCAAAGUCGGUGGGGUAACCUUUUAGG